RNAcentral lists this ribosomal RNA (253 nucleotides) under uncultured bacterium. Its description in RNAcentral is "partial 16S ribosomal RNA". It matches the Rfam family "Bacterial small subunit ribosomal RNA", at positions 524 to 776 of the family's 1533-position model. The record is from RNAcentral.
UACGGAGGGUGCAAGCGUUAUCCGGAUUUACUGGGUUUAAAGGGUGUGUAGGCGGACUUUUAAGUCAGGGGUGAAAUCCCGAGGCUCAACCUCGGAACUGCCUUUGAUACUACUGGUCUUGAAUCUUGUUGAGGUGGGCGGAACGGGUCAUGUAGCGGUGAAAUGCAUAGAUAUGACCCGGAACACCGAUUGCGAAGGCAGCCCGCUAAGCAAGCAUUGACGCUGAGGCACGAAAGCGUGGGGAUCAAACAGG